This is a non-coding RNA of Pelobates cultripes (western spadefoot toad), 240 nucleotides long. Lineage: Eukaryota; Metazoa; Chordata; Amphibia; Anura; Pelobatidae. The record is from the annotation of a GenBank genome assembly.
CUCCACUACACAGUCCCACCCCACAACUUUUCUUUGCCCACUGGGAGAUAAUGAGUACUGAAGAACUCACUCAAAAGAAAAGCAUUGAGAGGCAUGUACAGCAAACGACUCACUGUCCUCAUAAAGAUGCAUUGAUUGAAAUGCUUUUCUAUGGGAAGCACUACUGUUUUGUGCUGAACCACAAAGCAAUCAGGAUAAGCAGGUGGGAGAAUGCAACCUUGUCACUUUAUGAAAGUGCCA